Molecule: unclassified non-coding RNA, 336 nt
Filed under: soil metagenome
Description: partial contains 5.8S ribosomal RNA, internal transcribed spacer 2, and large subunit ribosomal RNA
Rfam family: 5.8S ribosomal RNA (bases 1-120)
Source: RNAcentral
GAUGAAGAACGCAGCGAAAUGCGAUAAGUAGUGUGAAUUGCAGAAUUCAGUGAAUCAUCGAAUCUUUGAACGCACAUUGCGCCCCUUGGUAUUCCAUGGGGCAUGCCUGUUCGAGCGUCAUUUGUACCCUCAAGCUUUGCUUGGUGUUGGGUGUUUGUCCUCUCCUUUGCGUUUGGACUCGCCUUAAAGCAAUUGGCAGCCAGUGUUUUGGUAUUGAAGCGCAGCACAAUUUGCGAUUCUAACCGACUACACUUGCGUCCAUAAGCCUUUUUUAACUUUUGACCUCGGAUCAGGUAGGGAUACCCGCUGAACUUAAGCAUAUCAAUAAGCGGAGGA